UAGUCCACACCGUAAACGCUGUCUACUAGCUGUUUGUGAGUUUAACUCGUGAGUAGCGAAGCUAACGCGCUAAGUAGACCGCCUGGGGAGUACGGUCGCAAGAUUAAAACUCAAAUGAAUUGACGGGGGCCCGCACAAGCGGUGGAGCAUGUGGUUUAAUUCGAAGAUACGCGCAGAACCUUACCAACACUUGACAUGUUCGUCGCGACUUUAAGAGAUUAAAGUUUUCGGUUCGGCCGGACGAAACACAGGUGCUGCAUGGCUGUCGUCAGCUCGUGUCGUGAGAUGUUCGGUUAAGUCCGGCAACGAGCGCAACCCACAUCUUUAGUUGCCAGCAGUUCGGCUGGGCACUCUAAAGAAACUGCCCGUGAUAAGCGGGAGGAAGGUGUGGAUGACGUCAAGUCCUCAUGGCCCUUACGGGGUUGGGGCUACACACGUGCUACAAUGGGCAGUGACAAU
This 459-nucleotide ribosomal RNA is filed under the name uncultured bacterium. RNAcentral describes it as "bacterial SSU rRNA". It matches the Rfam family "Bacterial small subunit ribosomal RNA", at positions 791 to 1243 of the family's 1533-position model. The record is from RNAcentral.